Molecule: non-coding RNA, 32 nt
Filed under: Rattus norvegicus (Norway rat)
Lineage: Eukaryota; Metazoa; Chordata; Mammalia; Rodentia; Muridae
Source: RNAcentral
UGAGGAAUGGCGGCUAUAAAGUUCGCCGAAUU